UCUGCCCACAAGAUUGGAAGCAGGUGAGAUAUACAGAGGAAAUCCACUGCCCCAUGGGGGUGGGGUGGUCUGAGGGACCAGGGACCCGCGGGGAUAGGGCUGGUUUACAGAUCAGCGCAUGGACAUCUUCCAAGAAAGUGACAAAGACGGCAAAGUUGGAGGUCUGGAAAGCGGAGACCGACGGGGCUGACUACCUGGGAGCACCGAAACUCGGGACAGCGCCUCUCGGGGUCCAGGAAGGGAACGCGAUCUGCUUCAGCACCAGGGCUCCGGACAGCUUCCAGCGGGGUUCGCGGGCCGGUUUCAUUUCAGCGCCAGGAAACCGGACAGCUUCCCUGAUCAGCAGGUGAAAUGAAACCGCACACGUAAAUCUGUAAUUCCCAACAGGUGAGAUGGCCAGCCGGUAGGACUGUGGGGGAACGCGCGCCUGCUGAGAUGACGUUGCUGUGCUCUUUCCAGACUUCUGUAAAGAAGCAUUGUGCCAAGCGUUUUAUAUACAUUAUAUGCCAUCCUCAACCCUAGGAUGUGGGUGUUAUUAUGCCCAGGUGACACUUGAGGAAACAGACCCAGAAAGUGGCAGAGAUAUAACUAGCCCGAAGGGGAACCAGAAACGGGAAAUAGGAGGCCGUGGAGAAGCAGGAAGCCCGGAUGUUAUGGCUUGGCUCAGGCCAGGAAAUACAAAGUAUCCAACUCUGAACCCAGGGUCCGUAACCGUCUUACUACACUUUCCUGGGGAAAUCAAUGAAGGAAUGGCAUUUGAAGCCCUCCCUAGACCAGAAUUCUUUGGAGACUUCUCAAUAACAUUUCCUGGAAUGAUAUUUUUCUCCUCCAUCAUGCCAUCAGUUCCAUGGACCCAUUAUAGGACAAGUGUAAAUUUGUGCCUGGUAGGUGAGUUGUGACCUCAACAAGACUCACCCCCAAUUCCCUGUGACAUCCUAAUCAAGUCACAGACACCACAGCAAGCUCAUUCUAGCCCUAGAGCGUUUGCCAUUCCCUCAGCUUGGAAAGCUCUGCCCCCCCCCCACCGCCAGCACCUCACCACUCACUCUACCUUCUUAUCCAAGUUUCAUGUCAUCGAGAGAAGUUUUCCUUUUUGCCUUGCACCGCCCGCCCCCAUGUCAAGUCUAUAUUAUACAAUCUCAUAGACCUAGGAUAUCCUCUCUCCCACACUUCAGUUACUUUUGUUAUUUGUCUGCAGGACUGUCUGCGUCCCCAUUACACUGUGAGCUCCAUGAAGGCAGAGACUGUGUUUGUAUUUUCACUGCUGUGUCUCCAGCACCCAGUUCAGGACCUGGCACACAGCAGGUGCUCAAUAAACAUUUGUUGAAUCAAUAAAGGCAUCAGAGAAUAAACCAAUAUAUCAAUCAAUAAGUGAAUUGAUGGCUU
Long non-coding RNA from Ailuropoda melanoleuca (giant panda), 1386 nucleotides. RefSeq lists it as uncharacterized. The transcript is spliced from 5 exons. Lineage: Eukaryota; Metazoa; Chordata; Mammalia; Carnivora; Ursidae. The record is from RefSeq and is a predicted model, not a curated record.